Molecule: long non-coding RNA, 572 nt
Filed under: Homo sapiens (human)
Lineage: Eukaryota; Metazoa; Chordata; Mammalia; Primates; Hominidae
Description: non-protein coding lnc-LGALSL-6:1
Source: RNAcentral
CUACAUGCUGAUUUGAUAUAGAACCCUAGAUAGAGCAUCUCGCAAGACCAGUGGUCCCUGGAACCCAGCUUAGAAAACAAGUCAAGGAAAGAGGCGUGGAACAGAUCCUUCCCUCAUAGGCCUCAAAAGGAACUACCCCUUCUGACACCUUGAUUUUGGACUUCCAGCCUUCAGAACUCUGAGACAGCCGAGAUCUCGCCACUGCACUCCAGCCUGGGCGACAGAGCAAGACUCCGUCUCAAAAGAAAAAAAAAAGAGAAAUGCUAAAGAGAGUACUUCAGUCAGAAAGAAAAUGACAUUAAUGACUACUAAGAAAUCAUCUGAACGUACAAAACUCACUGGUAAUAAUAAGGAAAAGGUGGAGAUAGUGAUCGGGUACAAAAAAAAUAGAAAGAAUGAAUUAGACCUACUAUUUGAUAGCACAACAGGGUGAUGAUAGUCAAUAAUAAUUUAACUGUACAUCUUAAAAUAAGUGAAAGAGUAUAAUUGGAUUGUUUGUAACACAAAGGAUAAAUGCUUGAGGGGAUGGAUACCCCAUUUUACAUGAUGUGAGUAUUAUGCAUUGCACAUCU